CCUACGGGUGGCUGCAGUGAGGAAUAUUGGUCAAUGGACGAGAGUCUGAACCAGCCAAGUAGCGUGAAGGAUGACUGCCCUAUGGGUUAUAAACUUCUUUUAUAAAGGAAUAAAACGAGGCACGUGUGCCUUUUUGCAUGUACUUUAUGAAUAAGGAUCGGCUAACUCCGUGCCAGCAGCCGCGGUAAUACGGAGGAUCCGAGCGUUAUCCGGAUUUAUUGGGUUUAAAGGGAGCGUAGAUGGGUUGUUAAGUCAGUUGUGAAAGUUUGCGGCUCAACCGUAAAAUUGCAAUUGAUACUGGCAGUCUUGAGUACGGGUGAGGUAGGCGGAAUUCGUGGUGUAGCGGUGAAAUGCUUAGAUAUCACGAAGAACCCCGAUUGCGAAGGCAGCAUACUAAACUGUGACUGACAUUGAUGCACGAAAGUGUGGGUAUCGAACAGGAUUAGAUACCCUAGUAGUC
Molecule: ribosomal RNA, 460 nt
Filed under: uncultured bacterium
Lineage: Bacteria
Description: partial 16S ribosomal RNA
Rfam family: Bacterial small subunit ribosomal RNA
Source: RNAcentral